GAGGGUAUAGCUUAAGUGGUAGAGCGCAUGCUUAGAAUGCACAAGGUCCUGGGUUCAAUCCCCGGUAUCUCCU
Molecule: transfer RNA, 73 nt
Filed under: Camelus ferus (Wild Bactrian camel)
Lineage: Eukaryota; Metazoa; Chordata; Mammalia; Artiodactyla; Camelidae
Rfam family: tRNA
About the family: Transfer RNA (tRNA) molecules are approximately 80 nucleotides in length.
Source: Rfam by way of RNAcentral